Long non-coding RNA from Oncorhynchus keta (chum salmon), 445 nucleotides. RefSeq lists it as uncharacterized. The transcript is spliced from 4 exons. The record is from RefSeq and is a predicted model, not a curated record. Lineage: Eukaryota; Metazoa; Chordata; Actinopteri; Salmoniformes; Salmonidae.
ACCCUUUAAACAGCUUAAAGGGGGGCGGCAGGGUAGCCUAGUGGUUAGAGUGGAGGGGCGGCAGGGUAGCCUAGUGGUUAGAGUGGAGGGGCGGCAGGGUAGCCUAGUGGUUAGAGUGUAGAGGCGGCAGGGUAGCCUAGUGGUUAGAGUGUAGAGGCGGCAGGUAGCCUAGUGGUUAGAGUGUAGAGGCGGCAGGGUAGCCUAGUGGUUAGAGUGUAGAGGCGGCAGGUAGCCUAGUGGUUAGAGUGUAGAGGCGGCAGGUAGCCUAGUGGUUAGAGUGUAGAGGCGGCAGGUAGCCCAGUGGUUAGAGUGUAGAGGCGGCAGGUAGCCUAGUGGUUAGAGUGUAGAGGAGGCAGGUAGCCUAGUGGUUAGAGUGUAGAGGAGGCAGGUAGCCUAGUGGUUAGAGUGUAGAGGAGGCAGGUAGCCUAGUGGUUAGAGUGCAGAG